UGAUUCAUGAUAAGUCAGAUCAUAAACAUCUUCAGGAUUAACCAAGUCGUCAAUGUUUAUUUCGGCAUAUGAUCGGCUACCAUCUGCAUAAAGCCAUUGACCUUUCUCGAUUUUUCUACAGUUGGGACAUUGCAUAAUACCCUUCACAUUGAAUGCGGAACCAAUGCAAUCUAUGAAACUGAUGUCCGCAAUGAAGCUUCGCAAAAGCACGAUCUCCACAAUCCGUAACAUCCUCCAGACAAAUCGAACAAGAAAUUAAGAAACCAGCUUUAGUUCCUUCAUCUAGACGAUCUGCGUCCUCUAACCCCAUACGUAAUCAAUCAACAACCAGACGAAACCCUAAAUUCGAACGGUAUAUGACAAUUCAAUUGAUUUCAACCAAACAGAUGAAGAAUCUCUUUCAAUUGAGGUCUGUUGAUUGUAAAUUAAUGACUUGUUAGUCAGAAUUGAAAUGGAAUCGAAGAUUAGGGUUUGGGAAGAGGAAAUUGGGAUUGGGAGUAUAAAAAGGGGGUGAUGGAGAAAAUGAUGGUUUUGG
Molecule: long non-coding RNA, 535 nt
Filed under: Helianthus annuus (common sunflower)
Lineage: Eukaryota; Viridiplantae; Streptophyta; Magnoliopsida; Asterales; Asteraceae
Description: hypothetical non coding rna
Source: RNAcentral